UACGAGGGGGGCAAGCGUUGUUCGGAAUUAUUGGGCGUAAAGGGUGCGUAGGCGGUCUGAUAAGUCAUCUGUGAAAUCUAUGGGCUCAGCCCAUAGUCUGCAGGCGAAACUGUCGGGCUUGAGUAUGGGAGAGGUGAGUGGAAUUUCCGGUGUAGCGGUGAAAUGCGUAGAUAUCGGAAGGAACACCUGUGGCGAAAGCGGCUCACUGGACCAUUACUGACGCUGAGGCACGAAAGCUAGGGGAGCAAACAGG
Molecule: ribosomal RNA, 253 nt
Filed under: uncultured bacterium
Lineage: Bacteria
Description: partial 16S ribosomal RNA
Rfam family: Bacterial small subunit ribosomal RNA
Source: RNAcentral